RNAcentral lists this transfer RNA (61 nucleotides) under Pseudocrangonyx daejeonensis. RNAcentral's name for it is "tRNA-Trp". Lineage: Eukaryota; Metazoa; Arthropoda; Malacostraca; Amphipoda; Pseudocrangonyctidae. The record is from RNAcentral.
UAGACUUUAAGUUAUAUAAACCAAAACCUUCAAAGUUUUUAAAAAGAUCCCUUAAGUCUAA